CCGGAGCAAAAGUGUUUACUAGACCGCAUGGGGAGUACGUCCGCAAGGGUGAGACUCACAUGAAGGGACGGGGGCUCACACAAGCGCUGGAGCAUGUGGAUUAAUUCGAAGCUACGCGCAGACUCUUACCUGGAUUCGACACGCUUGGAUGCCUGCUACUGAUAGGAGUUAGGCUGCCUUCGGGUGAAACUUGCACAGGUGAGCCAUGACUGUCGUCAGCUCGUCUCUUGACGAUCUCGGCUUAAGCCCUUUAACGAUCGUAACCGUUGCGGUUACUUGCCAGUGAGUAAUGUCGGGGACUCUAACGGGACUGCCGGUGACAAACCGGAGGAAGGUGGGGAUGACGUCAAGUCCUCAUGGCCUUUAUGCCCAGGGCUUCACACAUGCUACAAUGGCAAUUACAGAGCGACGCGAUACCGCGAGGUGGAGCAAAUCCGCACAAAAAUUGCCUCAGUUCGGAUUGCAGGCUGGCAAUUCGCCUGCAUGAAGUCGGAAUCGCUAGUA
This 504-nucleotide ribosomal RNA is filed under the name uncultured organism. RNAcentral describes it as "bacterial SSU rRNA". It matches the Rfam family "Bacterial small subunit ribosomal RNA", at positions 846 to 1340 of the family's 1533-position model. The record is from RNAcentral.